AGUCGAGCGGACUGAUUAAAAGCUUGCGUUUUAUGAAGUCAGCGGCGGACGGGUGAGUAACACGUGGGCAACCUGCCUGUAAGACUGGGAUAACUUCGGGAAACCGGAGCUAAUACCGGAUAAUACUAGGAACCUCCUGGUUCCUUGUUGAAAGAUGGUUUCGGCUAUCACUUACAGAUGGGCCCGCGGCGCAUUAGCUAGUUGGUGAGGUAACGGCUCACCAAGGCGACGAUGCGUAGCCGACCUGAGAGGGUGAUCGGCCACACUGGGACUGAGACACGGCCCAGACUCCUACGGGAGGCAGCAGUAGGGAAUCUUCCACAAUGGACGAAAGUCUGAUGGAGCAACGCCGCGUGAGCGAUGAAGGCCUUCGGGUCGUAAAGCUCUGUUGUUAGGGAAGAACAAGUGCGAGAGUAACUGCUCGCACCUUGACGGUACCUAACCAGAAAGCCACGGCUAACUACGUGCCAGCAGCCGCGGUAAUACGUAGGUGGCAAGCGUUGUCCGGAAUUAUUGGGCGUAAAGCGCGCGCAGGCGGUUUCUUAAGUCUGAUGUGAAAGCCCACGGCUCAACCGUGGAGGGUCAUUGGAAACUGGGGAACUUGAGUGCAGAAGAGGAGAGU
RNAcentral lists this ribosomal RNA (622 nucleotides) under Bacillus sp. (in: firmicutes). Its description in RNAcentral is "bacterial SSU rRNA". It matches the Rfam family "Bacterial small subunit ribosomal RNA", at positions 60 to 662 of the family's 1533-position model. The record is from RNAcentral. Lineage: Bacteria; Bacillati; Bacillota; Bacilli; Caryophanales; Bacillaceae.